AGGAAUUUAGGAUAGUACCAGACCAAGGACCUUCAAAGCCCUAAGCAGAAGUGAAAAUCUUCUAAUUCCUG
RNAcentral lists this transfer RNA (71 nucleotides) under Hoplias intermedius. Its description in RNAcentral is "tRNA-Trp". It matches the Rfam family "tRNA". Rfam says of the family: Transfer RNA (tRNA) molecules are approximately 80 nucleotides in length. Their secondary structure includes four short double-helical elements and three loops (D, anti-codon, and T loops). Further hydrogen bonds mediate the characteristic L-shaped molecular structure. tRNAs have two regions of fundamental functional importance: the anti-codon, which is responsible for specific mRNA codon recognition, and the 3' end, to which the tRNAs corresponding amino acid is attached (by aminoacyl-tRNA synthetases). tRNAs cope with the degeneracy of the genetic code in two manners: having more than one tRNA (with a specific anti-codon) for a particular amino acid; and 'wobble' base-pairing, i.e. permitting non-standard base-pairing at the 3rd anti-codon position. Lineage: Eukaryota; Metazoa; Chordata; Actinopteri; Characiformes; Erythrinidae. The record is from RNAcentral.